This 253-nucleotide ribosomal RNA is filed under the name uncultured bacterium. RNAcentral's name for it is "partial 16S ribosomal RNA". It matches the Rfam family "Bacterial small subunit ribosomal RNA", at positions 524 to 776 of the family's 1533-position model. The record is from RNAcentral.
UACAGAGGGUGCAAGCGUUGUUCGGAAUUAUUGGGCGUAAAGCGCGUGUAGGCGGCUUUGCAAGUCGGGUGUGAAAUCCCUCAGCUCAACUGAGGAAGUGCGCCCGAAACUGCAGAGCUUGAAUACCGGAGAGGAUGGCGGAAUUCCCCAAGUAGAGGUGAAAUUCGUAGAUAUGGGGAGGAACACCGGUGGCGAAGGCGGCUCUCUGGGACGGUACUGACGCUGAGACGCGAAAGCGUGGGGAGCGAACAGG